GACGAACGCUGGCGGCGUGCUUAACACAUGCAAGUCGAACGGAAAGGCCCUGCUUUUGUGGGGUGCUCGAGUGGCGAACGGGUGAGUAACACGUGAGUAGCCUGCCCUUGACUUUGGGAUAACUUCAGGAAACUGGGGCUAAUACCGGAUAGGAGCUCCUGCUGCAUGGUGGGGGUUGGAAAGUUUCGGCGGUUGGGGAUGGACUCGCGGCUUAUCAGCUUGUUGGUGGGGUAGUGGCUUACCAAGGCUUUGACGGGUAGCCGGCCUGAGAGGGUGACCGGCCACAUUGGGACUGAGAUACGGCCCAGACUCCUACGGGAGGCAGCAGUGGGGAAUAUUGCACAAUGGGCGGAAGCCUGAUGCAGCAACGCCGCGUGCGGGAUGACGGCCUUCGGGUUGGAAACCGCUUUCGCCUGUGACGAAGCGUGAGUGACGGUAAUGGGUAAAGAAGCACCGGCUAACUACGUG
RNAcentral lists this ribosomal RNA (468 nucleotides) under uncultured bacterium. Its description in RNAcentral is "partial 16S ribosomal RNA". It matches the Rfam family "Bacterial small subunit ribosomal RNA", at positions 28 to 507 of the family's 1533-position model. The record is from RNAcentral.